RNAcentral lists this ribosomal RNA (449 nucleotides) under uncultured bacterium. RNAcentral's name for it is "partial 16S ribosomal RNA". It matches the Rfam family "Bacterial small subunit ribosomal RNA", at positions 29 to 523 of the family's 1533-position model. The record is from RNAcentral.
AAUGAACGCUGGCGGCAUGCCUAACACAUGCAAGUCGAACGAUGCUUUCGGGCAUAGUGGCGCACGGGUGCGUAACGCGUGGGAAUCCACCCCUGGGUUCGGAAUAACAGUUGGAAACGACUGCUAAUACCGGAUGAUGACGUAAGUCCAAAGAUUUAUCGCCCAGGGACGAGCCCGCGUAGGAUUAGCUAGUUGGUGGGGUAAAGGCCUACCAAGGCGACGAUCCUUAGCUGGUCUGAGAGGAUGAUCAGCCACACUGGGACUGAGACACGGCCCAGACUCCUACGGGAGGCAGCAGUGGGGAAUAUUGGACAAUGGGCGAAAGCCUGAUCCAGCAAUGCCGCGUGAGUGAUGAAGGCCUUAGGGUUGUAAAGCUCUUUUACCCGGGAUGAUAGUGACAGUACCGGGAGAAUAAGCCCCGGCUAACUCCGUGCCAGCCGCCGCAGUAA